RNAcentral lists this long non-coding RNA (800 nucleotides) under Elaeis guineensis (African oil palm). RNAcentral's name for it is "long non-coding RNA (EGUI_LNC019003)". Lineage: Eukaryota; Viridiplantae; Streptophyta; Magnoliopsida; Arecales; Arecaceae. The record is from RNAcentral.
UCUCAUUAAGUUACGAUAAAUUUGACGUGACGUCACUAUUGCAGCAAAUUUUUCUUUUGAUUCAUAUCGUAUCACCAUAUUCCUAGUUACAUGCAGUUCUCAUGCAAUUGCUAGCUCCCUAAAAUUCUGAGCUUAGUUGAUUACAAAUACAUUUUUCAGAGCAAAUACUUAAAAUUGAAAUCCAAUUAAUUACCUAAAAUAGCCCUCAAAAACAACAAAAGCAAUAGAUGGGCAGAGGGAUCUUAUUAACAUUUAUAGUCCACAAGUCCUUUAGAGAAGAAGCAUUACACAUGUUCUCAGUGACCCAACACAACCAAUUCCUGAUCAGCCCCCUCCGUGACGUCGCCGGUGUCAUCGUCGUUGUCGUCGUCGUCGUCGUCGUCGCUGGAUUGUGCGACGUUCAGUGUCGACUCCUCUGCUUCGUUCUCGGAUGAGUCUGGGUCGCCGGGCCGGCAGGUCUCGUUGGCGGGAUUGCAGUGGUGGCCGGUGGUCCUGGUGCUCCCCCCGAUAGCGCUCUCUUGGGGCGUCUCUUCUGCCUCCUGUCCAGCGACUUCAUCCGAUCUCAUGAUCAGCAGGAAGCACGCGAGCAUCGCAAUGACAACGCAUGCGCGAAUGGAAGCCAUCGAAUGAAUGGAUGUUGAUGGAGAUGAGGAAGGGCAAAGGGGAAGGGAUGCAGGGAAGGUACUUAAAAAGGGUUGGGGAGGAGGCAAACUUUUGGUUAGGCCGAGGAGAGGUUUUUCUGGUGGGUACGUAGAAGCAGUUGGAGAAUGAGUGGCUGGGGUUUGGAGACAGCUCUUUCC